AUUGAACGCUGGCGGCAUGCCUUACACAUGCAAGUCGAACGGUAACAGGUCUUCGGAUGCUGACGAGUGGCGAACGGGUGAGUAAUACAUCGGAACGUGCCCGAUCGUGGGGGAUAACGGAGCGAAAGCUUUGCUAAUACCGCAUACGAUCUACGGAUGAAAGCAGGGGACCGCAAGGCCUUGCGCGGACGGAGCGGCCGAUGGCAGAUUAGGUAGUUGGUGGGAUAAAAGCUUACCAAGCCGACGAUCUGUAGCUGGUCUGAGAGGACGACCAGCCACACUGGGACUGAGACACGGCCCAGACUCCUACGGGAGGCAGCAGUGGGGAAUUUUGGACAAUGGGCGCAAGCCUGAUCCAGCCAUGCCGCGUGCAGGAUGAAGGCCUUCGGGUUGUAAACUGCUUUUGUACGGAACGAAACGGCUCUUUCUAAUAAAGAGGGCUAAUGACGGUACCGUAAGAAUAAGCACCG
RNAcentral lists this ribosomal RNA (470 nucleotides) under beta proteobacterium MC3. RNAcentral's name for it is "bacterial SSU rRNA". It matches the Rfam family "Bacterial small subunit ribosomal RNA", at positions 30 to 495 of the family's 1533-position model. The record is from RNAcentral. Lineage: Bacteria; Pseudomonadati; Pseudomonadota; Betaproteobacteria.